GUUAAGCGACUAAGCGUACACGGUGGAUGCCCUGGCAGUCAGAGGCGAUGAAGGACGUGCUAAUCUGCGAUAAGCGUCGGUAAGGUGAUAUGAACCGUUAUAACCGGCGAUUUCCGAAUGGGGAAACCCAGUGUGUUUCGACACACUAUCAUUAACUGAAUCCAUAGGUUAAUGAGGCGAACCGGGGGAACUGAAACAUCUAAGUACCCCGAGGAAAAGAAAUCAACCGAGAUUCCCCCAGUAGCGGCGAGCGAACGGGGAGCAGCCCAGAGCCUGAAUCAGUGUGUGUGUUAGUGGAAGCGUCUGGAAAGGCGCGCGAUACAGGGUGACAGCCCCGUACACAAAAAUGCACAUGCUGUGAGCUCGAUGAGUAGGGCGGGACACGUGGUAUCCUGUCUGAAUAUGGGGGGACCAUCCUCCAAGGCUAAAUACUCCUGACUGACCGAUAGUGAACCAGUACCGUGAGGGAAAGGCGAAAAGAACCCCGGCGAGGGGAGUGAAAAAGAACCUGAAACCGUGUACGUACAAGCAGUGGGAGCACGCUUAGGCGUGUGACUGCGUACCUUUUGUAUAAUGGGUCAGCGACUUAUAUUCUGUAGCAAGGUUAACCGAAUAGGGGAGCCGAAGGGAAACCGAGUCUUAACUGGGCGUUAAGUUGCAGGGUAUAGACCCGAAACCCGGUGAUCUAGCCAUGGGCAGGUUGAAGGUUGGGUAACACUAACUGGAGGACCGAACCGACUAAUGUUGAAAAAUUAGCGGAUGACUUGUGGCUGGGGGUGAAAGGCCAAUCAAACCGGGAGAUAGCUGGUUCUCCCCGAAAGCUAUUUAGGUAGCGCCUCGUGAAUUCAUCUCCGGGGGUAGAGCACUGUUUCGGCAAGGGGGUCAUCCCGACUUACCAACCCGAUGCAAACUGCGAAUACCGGAGAAUGUUAUCACGGGAGACACACGGCGGGUGCUAACGUCCGUCGUGAAGAGGGAAACAACCCAGACCGCCAGCUAAGGUCCCAAAGUCAUGGUUAAGUGGGAAACGAUGUGGGAAGGCCCAGACAGCCAGGAUGUUGGCUUAGAAGCAGCCAUCAUUUAAAGAAAGCGUA
This 1094-nucleotide ribosomal RNA is filed under the name Escherichia coli. RNAcentral's name for it is "partial 23S ribosomal RNA". It matches the Rfam family "Bacterial large subunit ribosomal RNA", at positions 1 to 1136 of the family's 2925-position model. Lineage: Bacteria; Pseudomonadati; Pseudomonadota; Gammaproteobacteria; Enterobacterales; Enterobacteriaceae. The record is from RNAcentral.